Fragaria vesca subsp. vesca is the source of this 1107-nucleotide RNA transcript. It is a transcript of the gene named bifunctional epoxide hydrolase 2-like, with no coding region annotated. The record is from RefSeq and is a predicted model, not a curated record. The transcript is spliced from 5 exons. Lineage: Eukaryota; Viridiplantae; Streptophyta; Magnoliopsida; Rosales; Rosaceae.
AUGGACCAGAUUCAGCACAAGUACAUAACCGUACAUGGCCUGAACCUUCACUGUCGCCGACAUUGGAACAGGUUCCAAUGUGGUCGUGUUCCUGCACGGAUUCCCAGAAAUAUGGUACUCGUGGCGCCACCAGAUGACCGCCGUAGCCAACGCCGGGUACCGGGCCAUUGCUCCCGAUUUCCGCGGGUACGGACUCUCCGACCCGCCACCCGAACCGGAGAAGACCACCUUCCACGACCUCAUCGAUGACCUCAUUGGAAUUCUCGAUGCUCUAGCCAUUCCCAAGGUUUUCCUCAUUAGAAAAGAUUUUGGAGGCCGGCCGGCAUACUUGUUUGCCCUUCUGCACCCAGAAAGGGUCUCGGGAGUUGUAAAAUUGGGAGUUCCAUACACACCACCAACAAGUCGUCCCCAAUAUGAUAAAUCCCUCCCUGAAGGUUUUUACAUCAACAGAUGGCAGGAACCUGGCCGCGCAGAAGCUGAUUUUGGACGCCUUGAUGCAAAAACAGUUGUUCGGAAUGUUUAGAUCCUUUUCUCGAGAAGUGAACUACCAAUAGCUGCGGAAAACCAGGAGAUCAUGGACUUGGUGGACUCGUCUACACCUCUUCCCCCAUGGUUCACUGAGGAAGAUCUUGAAGCAUAUGGCAAGUUGUACGAAAAAUCAGGUUUCCGAACUGCGCUGCGAGUUCCAUAUAGGGUGAUUAAAGAAGAUUUGGGCAUAACCACUGAUCCAACUGUUAAAGUUCCGGUGCUGUGUAUAAUGGGAAACAAGGAUUAUUCAUGCAAAUUUCCAGGGAUGGCAGAUUACAUAAACAGUGGAAAGUUGAAAGAGUUUGUCCCCAAUUUGGAGAUUGUAUCUCUCCCUGAAGGAACUCAUUUUGUUCAAGAACAAUUGCCUGACCAGGUCAAUGAGCUCAUCCUCACCUUCCUUGGAAAGCACAAGUGAUUGGUAAUGCUUCUAUGAUCAUUAUCGGACAUACAAUUGUCUAAGACUCCAUAGAGCAGAUCAGGAUUAGGAAGGAUAUACCAACUUCUUAUUUCUGUUGAAAGAUUUAACUUUCGAGUCCUCAUGUACAAUUGGCUAAAACUGCAAUGUGGCCCAUUUGGAAC